Molecule: ribosomal RNA, 890 nt
Filed under: uncultured bacterium
Lineage: Bacteria
Description: bacterial SSU rRNA
Rfam family: Bacterial small subunit ribosomal RNA
Source: RNAcentral
AACGAACGCUGGCGGCGUGCCUAACACAUGCAAGUCGAGCGCGAAUAGGGGCAACCCUUAGUAGAGCGGCGAACGGGUGCGUAACACGUGGGUAAUCUGCCCUGGAGUCCGGGACAACCUGCCGAAAGGUUGGCUAAUACCGGAUAAGACCACGGGGACUUCGGUCCCUGAGGGAAAAGGUGGCCUCUGUAUACAAGCUAUCUCUUCAGGAUGAGCCCGCGGCCCAUCAGCUAGUUGGUGAGGUAAUGGCUCACCAAGGCAACGACGUGUAGCUGGUCUUGAGAGGACGAUCAGCCACACUGGAACUGAGACACGGUCCAGACUCCUACGGGAGGCAGCAGUGCGGAAUUUUGCACAAUGGGCGAAAGCCUGAUGCAACAACGCCGCGUGUGUGAUGAAGGUCUUCGGAUUGUAAAGCACUUUCGACCGGGACGAAACCCGGAUGGCCAAUAUCCAUCCGUCUGACGGUACCGGGAGAAGAAGCACCGGCUAACUCUGUGCCAGCAGCCGCGGUAAUACAGAGGGUGCAAGCGUUGUUCGGAAUUAUUGGGCGUAAAGCGCGUGUAGGCGGCAUGGCAAGUCGGGUGUGAAAGCCCUCAGCUUAACUGAGGAAGUGCGCCCGAAACUGCUGUGCUUGAGUGCUGGAGAGGGUCGCGGAAUUCCCCAAGUAGAGGUGAAAUUCGUAGAUAUGGGGAGGAACACCGGUGGCGAAGGCGGCGACCUGGACAGUAACUGACGCUGAGACGCGAAAGCGUGGGGAGCAAACAGGAUUAGAUACCCUGGUAGUACACGCCGUAAACGAUGAGAACUAGGUGUCGUGGGUGUUGACCUUCGCGGUGCCGCAGCUAACGCAUUAAGUUCUCCGCCUGGGAAGUACGGCCGCAAGGCUA